Molecule: ribosomal RNA, 468 nt
Filed under: uncultured bacterium
Lineage: Bacteria
Description: partial 16S ribosomal RNA
Rfam family: Bacterial small subunit ribosomal RNA
Source: RNAcentral
GACGAACGCUGGCGGCGUGCUUAACACAUGCAAGUCGAACGGCAAGGCCCUGCUUUUGUGGGGUGCUCGAGUGGCGAACGGGUGAGUAACACGUGAGUAACCUGCCCUUGACUUUCGGAUAACUUCAGGAAACUGGGGCUAAUACCGGAUAGCAGCUCCCGCUGCAUGGAGGGGGUUGGAAAGUUUCGGCGGUUGGGGAUGGACUCGCGGCUUAUCAGCUUGUUGGUGGGGUAGUGGCUUACCAAGGCUUUGACGGGUAGCCGGCCGGAGAGGGUGACCGGGCACAUGGGGACUGAGAUACGGCCCAGACUCCUAUGGGAGGCAGAAGUGGGGAAUAUGACACAAUGGGCGGAAGCGUGAUGCAGCAACGCCGCGUGCGGGAUGACGGCCUUCGGGGUGUAAACCGCUGUCGCCUGUGACGAAGCGUGUGUGACGGUAAUGAGUAAAGAAGCACCGGCUAACUACGUG